GCGAGUGAAGAGGGAAAAGCUCAAAUUUUGAAUCUGGCGGUCUUUUGGUCGUCCGAGUUGUAAUCUAGAGAAGCGUCUUCCGCGCUGGACCGUGUAUAAGUUUCCUGGAAUGGAACGUCGUAGAGGGUGAGAAUCCCGUCUUUGACACGGACUACCAGGGCUAUGUGAUGCGCUCUCGACGAGUCGAGUUGUUUGGGAAUGCAGCUCAAAUAGGGUGGUAAAUUCCAUCUAAAGCUAAAUACAGGCGAGAGACCGAUAGCGAACAAGUACCGUGAGGGAAAGAUGAAAAGAACUUUGGAAAGAGAGUUAAACAGUACGUGAAAUUGCUGAAAGGGAAACGCUUGAUGUCAGUCGCGUCGGCCGGGGAUCAGCCUUGCUUAACCGCUCGGCGUACUUCCUGGUAGACGGGUCAGCAUCAGUUUCGACCGUCGGAAAAUGGCUCGGGGAAUGUGGCACUCUUUCGGGAGUGUGUUAUAGACUCGAGUCGAAUGCGAUGGUCGGGACUGAGGAACUCAGCACGACCUUAGGGUUCGGGACUUCGGUCCACGUUUGCGUGCUUAGGAUGCUGGCAUAAUGGCCUUAAGCGACCCGUCUUGAAACACGGACCAAGGAGUCUAACAUGCAUGCGAGUGUUUGGGCGAUGAAAACCCGAGCGCGUAAUGAAAGUGAAAGUCGAGACCUCUGUCGUG
This 689-nucleotide ribosomal RNA is filed under the name Rhizopogon sp. RNAcentral describes it as "LSU rRNA". It matches the Rfam family "Eukaryotic large subunit ribosomal RNA", at positions 89 to 751 of the family's 3401-position model. The record is from RNAcentral. Lineage: Eukaryota; Fungi; Basidiomycota; Agaricomycetes; Boletales; Rhizopogonaceae.